RNAcentral lists this transfer RNA (74 nucleotides) under Kibdelosporangium phytohabitans. Its description in RNAcentral is "Kibdelosporangium sp. KLBMP 1111 tRNA". It matches the Rfam family "tRNA". Rfam says of the family: Transfer RNA (tRNA) molecules are approximately 80 nucleotides in length. The record is from Rfam by way of RNAcentral. Lineage: Bacteria; Bacillati; Actinomycetota; Actinomycetes; Pseudonocardiales; Pseudonocardiaceae.
GCUCCCGUAGCUCAACCGGUCAGAGCAGGACGCUUAUAACGUCAAGGUCGCGGGUUCAAACCCCGCCGGGAGCA